This 577-nucleotide ribosomal RNA is filed under the name Sebacina sp. LM4914. Its description in RNAcentral is "eukaryotic LSU rRNA". The stretch from base 172 to 325 matches the Rfam family "5.8S ribosomal RNA". Lineage: Eukaryota; Fungi; Basidiomycota; Agaricomycetes; Sebacinales; Sebacinaceae. The record is from RNAcentral.
CAUUAGUGAUUAAACUGUUGCCCUCUGUGCUGGCUCUGCAAGUGCACGUCGGUGACUUUCAUUCCAAUACCCUUGUGAACCUUUGGCCUCUUGCUAGCUUCGGCUGGCAGAGGAUUCUACAUACAAACUCGCAUGUAAUGAAACUCUUGUUGUGCACAAGCACUACUAUACAACUUUCAACAACGGAUCUCUUGGCUCUCGCAUCGAUGAAGAACGCAGCGAAAUGCGAUAAGUAAUGUGAAUUGCAGAAUUCAGUGAAUCAUCGAAUCUUUGAACGCACCUUGCACCCUUUGGCAUUCUGAAGGGUAUGCUCGUUUGAGUGUCAUUGUACUCUCACACUUCCGAUCUUGCAUUGGGAGCGGUGGACUUGGGUUUGCUGCCUUACCGUAGCUUACCUCAAAUGUGUUAGUGCAACUCUUGGUUGGACAUAGUACGGCGUGAUAAGUAUCUUCGCCGGUGCCUCGCAAUUGCGAGGGUGGCCGAUCGGGAUGUUGUGCUCCAAACCGUCUUCGGACAAUCUCUGACAACUUGACCUCAAAUCGAGUAAGACUACCCGCUGAACUUAAGCAUAUCAAUA